AUUGAACGCUGGCGGCAGGCUUAACACAUGCAAGUCGAGCGGGGAAGGGUAGCUUGCUACCUGACCUAGCGGCGGACGGGUGAGUAAUGCUUAGGAAUCUGCCUAUUAGUGGGGGACAACAUUCCGAAAGGAAUGCUAAUACCGCAUACGCCCUACGGGGGAAAGCAGGGGAUCUUCGGACCUUGCGCUAAUAGAUGAGCCUAAGUCAGAUUAGCUAGUUGGUGGGGUAAAGGCCUACCAAGGCGACGAUCUGUAGCGGGUCUGAGAGGAUGAUCCGCCACACUGGGACUGAGACACGGGCCAGACUCCUACGGGAGGCAGCAGUGGGGAAUAUUGGACAAUGGGCGAAAGCCUGAUCCAGCCAUGCCGCGUGUGUGAAGAAGGCCUUUUGGUUGUAAAGCACUUUAAGCGAGGAGGAGGCUACUUAGAUUAAUACUCUAGGAUAGUGGACGUUACUCGCAGAAUAAGCACCGGCUAACUCUUUGCCAGCCGCCGCAGUAA
Molecule: ribosomal RNA, 501 nt
Filed under: uncultured bacterium
Lineage: Bacteria
Description: partial 16S ribosomal RNA
Rfam family: Bacterial small subunit ribosomal RNA
Source: RNAcentral